CAUGGGCACCAUGAGCAGUGCCUGUUGUAGUUAUAGUAGUUGUAGUACUAGCAGUAUUAGUAGUAGUACUUAGCGGCCUCAGCAGAGUUAUAGACAUGCCGGGCCAGAUCACUGGGGAAACAGCUCCUUCCAGCAAAGGAAAAGCCUACCAAGUGUAACUGACAUUAAAAAGGGCCACCUUCAUAAUUUUGCAAGUAUGUUAAACUCUUUACCAAGCAGUCAGCUAUUCCUUUGUGCAGCUCUAAAAAUGUAAUGCUGGGAUUUGAUACAGUUGCCCUUCAAAUACCCCAGGUAAAGGGAGCUGAGUGCUUUGAUUCCAGGGAAACCGUGAGUAAGUAUUAAGAGAAGUAUGCUGCUAUGUAGCAGUUCCGUAGUUAGUCGAGCAUUCUUCCUUUCUGCCAUGGAGGGAGAAGACUUGCACGUGGAAGAGAACAUGGUGUUCCUGCACAGGGACUCACCACUGACCAGAAUCAUGUGCGACAGGGAGCAGGAGGGCCCUGAUGGCAGGGAGCCAGCAUGCCUGUUGUGUCGUUGUGUAAAGGCCGACCCCUGCGUUUCCCCAGGCCCUGGCAAGUGCCCCUGUGCUGCUCCUGCAUUGCCCAGGGCACCCACAGGUGUUGCUCGUGCCUGACAGCGACCAGAACCAGCGCCGAGUGUGACAGCUCUGUUGCUCUGGGCACGGCUGUCAGGCCAAGCCCCCUUUUGGGCUUGGCAGAGCCCGUAGGCUCCUGGAGGGCUGGGGGCACUGCUCCGGCCCAGCCUGGCCCAGGCCUGGGAGGCCUUUGACAUUGCUGAUUGCCCUCACAGCCUCCAGGGCUGAGCCGGAGCUCAAUGGCCCCAGCCUGACCGGACAGUCUGGACUGGAGCCUUCCCGUGGCUCCCCGGAACCCGAGAGCAUCAGCGCCAGCUCAGAAACACUGCCUAACUGGGUUUGCCAAUAUUGUUUCUUGUUAGAUCCUUGAAAGGAUUUAAAAGGUAAAGUUGUUUGGCAACUUCUUCAAGGAACAAAUAGGACACGAUUCUUUUCAAGAAAGGGUUUAUUAGUUUGGGUUCAGUUUCCGUUUGGAAUUCUUAUGCUUCCUUAGACGAUCCA
Molecule: non-coding RNA, 1093 nt
Organism: Cyanistes caeruleus (blue tit)
Lineage: Eukaryota; Metazoa; Chordata; Aves; Passeriformes; Paridae
Source: RefSeq, a predicted model, not a curated record